UCUCUAGUUUGCCGGUAGGAAAAGUCACCCUCCCUAUCUAGGAGUGCACGAUGCCAAUCACACUUCUUGCAUGUUUCUCGGGAGUAAAGAUCGAGACGCAGUGGCGCCGAACUCCAGAUCGAAUCUGAAAUUCCCCAAUCCCACACCUCCGUCCGCGUUCCUCCCGCCGGUGGUUGGUCCUCGCCGGCGCGCGCCCUCACUCACCGUCGCUGCAGGGAGAAGCCAGCGAGGCCACUCUGUCCAGCGUCUCCUCCGUCCGUCCUCCUCCCACCAGAGUAAGGACUUGGUCGUUGCCGCCCGCGUUUACCGCCGCCGCAGGAAGUAGACGGCGGCAAUGUCACGCCUCCAGCCCCGCUAUUUCUCCAGCUCCGUGUCCUCACGCGCCAACGAACUGCUGAGCGAAUUCCACCAUCAUCUGGGCUCCGGAACGCUCUGGCCGGAGCUCGCGCGCCAACUGUUCGACCAAAUGCUGCGCCAACCUGUCCCGGUAUCAGUACGUGCACUCAACGGCUUAUUUGCUGCCCUCGCGCGUGCGCCGCCCUCAACCGCCUGCACCAAUGCCCCUGCCCUCGUCAUUGAUCUCUUCAACCGCAUGGCCCAAGCAGGUCGUCGCCAGGUGACAGCACCCACCAUUUACACCUACAGCAUACUUAUUGAGUGCUGCCACCGAGCAUGCCGCCCAGACCUAGGGCUUGCCUUCUUCGGCCGCCUCCUCCAGACAGGCAUCACGACGGACGUCAUUACCUACAGCAGCUUACUCAAGUGCCUCUGUGACAUGAAGCGCACGGAGGAGGCUUUGGGCGUGCUGCUCCACAGGAUGCCCAACGACCUGCCUAAUGUCAUCUCCUACUCAGUAAUUCUCAAGAGCUUCUGCGACAGUGGUAGGAGCCAGCUUGCGCUUGAUCUGCUCCGAAUGAUGGCCGAAAAAGGAUCUGACCACUCCCCCAGCGUGGUGUCAUACAGCGUGGUAAUCGAUGGUUUCUUCAAGGAGGGUGAAAUAAGCAAAGCAUGUGAUCUGUUCCAUGAAAUGAUGCAGCAGGGGGUUGUGCCCGAUGUGGUGAUGUAUACCUCCAUUAUCAAUGCGCUAUGCAAAGCAAGAGCAAUGGACAAGGCAGAGGUGGUUCUUCGAUCAAUGGUUCAUAAUGGUGUCCAACCAGAUGCUGUGACAUAUACUAGCCUGAUCCAAGGAUAUUCAACUUUAGGCCAGUUGAAAGAAGUCGCUAGGUUGUUGAAAGUGAUGAGAAGCCAAGGUGUUAUGCCAGACGUUGUUACCUGCACCUUAGUCAUGGACUACCUUUGCAAGCAUGGAAGAACCAAAGAAGCUCAGGAAAUAUUUUAUUCCAUGGCUGUGAAUGGGCAAAAACCUGAUAUUGUCGCAUACUGUACUAUGCUCUAUGGGUACUCUAUAGAAGGAUCCCUUGUUGAUAUGAUCGAUCUCUGUGAGCUGAUGGCAAGAGAUGGAGUUGUACCCAACCUCCGUUGUUUCAACAUACUGAUUAAUGCAUAUGCUAAGCAUGGAAUGAUGGAUGUGGCCCUGCUUUUCUUCGAAGAUAUGUUGAAGCAGGGGGUGAAGCCUAAUGAAUUCACUUAUUUAACUGUGAUAUCUGCAUUUUGCAAGAUGGGCAGGAUGGAUGAUGCGAUGGAAAAAUUCCGUGAGAUGAUUGAUAUGGGAGUACCAGUUGACACAGAAGUUUACAUGUGCAUGAUUGAGGGUUAUUUGAAUCACGGUGACUCCGUGAAAGCGAAGGAAUUGAUUACUGAAAUGAAGAACACGGAUAUUCGUCAUAAGCCGUGGAAGGGUAAUGGAAGAACAUAAUGUCUUUGACAUGGUUGUAGGUACUGGUGAGAGGCCUGAUCUUGUUACAUUUACUUAAAUGAUCGACUAAUAUUGCAUAGUCGUCAAGACAAAAGACACAUUUAUAGUACUUGGUGUCAAACACUCGUUACUUACCAUGGCUAUUCUCUCAUGGUCAUUCUUUCGAAGAGAAAGAGAACAGAACAAUUUCAGUUUCCUGCCAUAAAUGAUUUCUGAGUCCAAACACUACAAUUGCCCAUUGAGCAUGAAGCUUUAGUAUUACGCCAAAUGGUGCUAGCAUAUGCUUGAUUUUAUGUGUCAUCAUCAGCAACUGCUCGAGUACUCGACUGAAUUGAUAACUGGGGGAGCGAUCCUUUCCCAAAAAUGGCGAACAGCUCCAUCACCAUAUCUUUCCUGGCAUUCAUGGUUUUUUCCACCAAGUCACUCAUCUCUGCUUACAAUCUCAUCCACUGAUCUUUAGCUUAAUGUACUAACGACCUGUUGUUGAUUUUUUUUGCCAUUUCGGAUAAAGUAUUUCAUGCUUACCUUUUUGUGCUGUACAAUAACUGUUGUGCUCUAGACUUCCAGUAAUGA
Molecule: RNA transcript, 2389 nt
Organism: Triticum aestivum (bread wheat)
Lineage: Eukaryota; Viridiplantae; Streptophyta; Magnoliopsida; Poales; Poaceae
Gene name: protein Rf1, mitochondrial
Exons: 2
Source: RefSeq, a predicted model, not a curated record